Molecule: small nucleolar RNA, 81 nt
Filed under: Chlamydotis macqueenii (Macqueen's bustard)
Lineage: Eukaryota; Metazoa; Chordata; Aves; Otidiformes; Otididae
Source: RNAcentral
UCUCUGUGAUGUCUUGAGAUCCCGCUUACCCUUUGCUGCGUGCUCAAUAGAAGGGAAGUGAAGAAACCUAUGGCUGAGAGA